Molecule: long non-coding RNA, 739 nt
Filed under: Rattus norvegicus (Norway rat)
Lineage: Eukaryota; Metazoa; Chordata; Mammalia; Rodentia; Muridae
Description: long non-coding RNA NONRATT011756
Source: RNAcentral
CAGAAUGAUCAAGGUCAUCACGGAGUCCCUCAGGCAGCCAGGUGUUGCCAGACCAGGUCCUCGAGGGUGGGUGACAGCCUCGAUGAGCAGAGCCAAGCUGAGUCCCGAGGGGAUCAGGGCUAGAUCUGAGCCUGCAAAUGACCUCUUUCCUGGUGGCUGGUGAGGAAGUAGGGCAAGGGUGGGAUGUCCCCGCCCUCAGCUCCAAGGGACCCCAUCUCUACUGGAAGGGUACUCUAGGCUGAGGCAGGAGGUUACUACAUUUCAUUCUGUGGAUGUGGAUGAUGAGCUGGGACAGAUGCUGGAAGUGGCCCUUUGGCCUUUCUGAUGGCAGGAGAGCGUCCACCUACCUCAGCUGCUGCCAAGUGGGGCUUCCUGUUUUCUUUCUCUGCCUCGUCCCUGCCCACUUCCUUCUGAUGUUUGAAAACCCCUCUGACCAUGCCCAGCAAGGACGGUAUCCGAGUCCUGACAAGCACUUCCUGCAAGGGUGUACCGCGAGCUUUUUCGUCCCAUUCUUGAGAUGCUGGUGGUACAGGACCAGCAUUGUUCUUAGGAACGUAAAGGAGAGGAUGUGUCUGACAGUGGGAUCCUUGCAUGAGCUUGAGUUUCAGUCUCACUUUUUAAAAACUAAUUUAUUGGGGCUGGGGAUUUAGCUCAGUGGUAGAGCGCUUACCUAGGAAGCACAAGGCCCCGGGUUCGGUCCCCAGCUCCGAAAAAAAAAAGAACCAAAAAAAAAAAAAAA